Long non-coding RNA from Pan troglodytes (chimpanzee), 3788 nucleotides. RefSeq lists it as uncharacterized. The transcript has 5 exons. The record is from RefSeq and is a predicted model, not a curated record. Lineage: Eukaryota; Metazoa; Chordata; Mammalia; Primates; Hominidae.
AAAAGGAGAAGUAAAACUAAAUUUAUUUGCAGAUGACAAUUAUCUAUGGAUAAAAUUUCAAAAUAAUAUACCAAAAAUGUCUGGUACUGUUAUAAUAAGCAGGUAUAGCAAUGUCACAAGAUGUACUACUGUUUACAUCAUGGUAAUGAAUAAUAUAAUUGGAAAUAAAAGUACCACCACCAAUAAAAGAAUACAGUAGUACACAUAAAUCUAAUAAAAUAUUUAAAGAGCAUCUGUGCAGAAAACUACAAAUGACUCAUGAAAUAAAGAAAAAAUAGACUUAAAUAAAGAUAUAUUUCAAGUUCUUGAAUAAGAAGACUCAAUAUUGCUUAGAUGUCAGUUCUUCCUAACUUGAUAUAUAAGUUCAAGACAGUACAAAUUAUAUUCACAACAGGCCUAUUUUGUACAUGUGGACAAGUGGAUUCUAAGGUUUACAUGGAAAAGGAAAAGUCUCCGAUUAAUUAAAAAAAAAAGAAACUCAAAAUUGGAAGGCUCAUAUUACCAGCUUUAAGAAAUUAUAAAGCUAGAGUAAUCAAGACUAUUUUUAACUAAUAGUGCUGGUGCAAUUGAAUGCUAAUAUGCAAAAGGAAACAAAACAAACAGACACAGAUCUAAAGACCUUGCAUAUUACAUAAAACUAAACUAAAAAUACACAAUCAUUUAUAUGUAAAAUGCAAGAUUAAAAUACUCUAGAAGAAAACAUUUUAAAAUUAUUUGUGAUCUUGGGUUUGAUGAUGAGUACUGAUAUGGUUUAACAGUAUCCCCAUCCAAAUCUUAACUUGAAUUUUAUGUCCCAGAAUUCCCAAGUGUUGUAGGAGAGACACAGUGGGAGGUAAUUGAAUCAUGGGAGCCAGCCUUUCCCAUGCUAUUGUCAUGAUAGUGAAUAAGUCUCACAAUAUCUGAUAAGUUUAUCAGGGGUUUCUGUUUUUGCCUCCUCCUCAUUUUUUCUCUUGCAGCUGCCAUAUAAGAAGUGCCUUUCACCUUCCACCAUGUUUCUGAGGCCUGCCCAGCCGUGUGGAACUUUUUCUCUUGCUGCUGCCAUGUAAGAAAUGCCUUUCAUGUCCCACCAUGAUUCUGAGGCCGCCCCAGCCAAGUGGAACUCAGUGCAAGAAUGAACUAAUACAGGCAAGACCUCACUAUGUUUCCCAGACUGGUUUGGAAUUCCUGCGCUUCAAGCCAUCCUCCUGCCUCAGCCUCUCAAAGUGCUGCUGGGAUUACAGCAGUGAAUCACAGUGCCUGAUCCUAAUGGUCUGAGUUUAAGCUGCCAUGUAAGAAGUGCUUUUCAUCUCCCGCCAUGAUUCUGAGGCCUCCCCAGCCAUGUGGAAUUAAGUGGCUUUCACCUCCUGCCAUGAUUCUGAGGCCUCCCCAGCCAUGCGGAACUGUAAGUCCAAUUAAACCUCCUUUUCUUCCCAGUCUCAGUUAUGUCUUUAUCAGCAGCAUUAAAAUGAACUAAUACAGAUGGUAUUUUUUUCUUUUUAAUGGAGUACCUGUGUUAAAACAAACAAGCAAACAAGAAAACCAAAAAAGGAAAAACACUUGACAAAUAGAGCUUAGAUAGGCCAUUAAGGGAAGGGUUCUCAGGCAUAAAUACCUGAUAUCGUAAACCAUAACAAAAGACUUGCAAAUACCACAACCUUGCAAAAAAGGCCAUGACAACUAUACACAAAAAAUGGUUCUUCAAGAACACCUGUCCAGAAACUACCUGUCCAAACUCAGACUUAAACUACCCUUGUUAUUGAUCCUUGUACCCAAGGACAAUUAUCUCAAAAGAAGUAUGUAAUUCUCCUCAUUUUUCCUUUAAAAAUCUGUCUUCCUUGACUCUCAUGAAUACACACAUAGUUUACCAUGACACACAUAUUCCCAUUGCAAUGCUCUAUUUUCAAAUAAAUAUCUUUUCUUUUAGAAAAGAAAAAAAUAGUAAUAAUUUGGAAAGUAUUGCUACCUCUACAAUAAGUCAUUUCACAUCAGAAAAAGAUACACAUUUAUUUUUAAUUUUCUUUUAUGUCCCUGAAUAGGUUUCUUUUUUUUCAUUUGUACUCUAAAAAUAUUCUAAUUAAAUUUAUUCCCAUAUGGCUUAUAUCAAUAUUCACAUGUCAUUUUUAUGAGGUUUUUUUCUAUAUAUACUAACUGGUUAUCGUAAGAAAAUAAAUUACUGAAAAUUUGUUUUAUAACCACAUGCAAAUGAAAAUCAGUAUCACUUCACCUUUUAGCAGUUGACAUAUUUGGUAAUUUUUACCUUUUGAAAAUAAUUUUGACUAAAUUUUAACUAACUGACCAGUCCUGCUGAUUCUCAUAUAUUGAUUUUUCAUGAUGUCUCUGAAUUUUAUUCCAAUUGUUCUGCAUGUUUAAAGACUCAAUAUUUUAUAUUGCCCUUUUAUUUCUCUUUAUUUGUCCUAAUUACAAUAAUAUUAGAUACUUUUUUUAGUGGUCUACUGUCACCUUUUCUAGAUUCUGAUACCAUAAUUUCCAUUACUGCAUGAUCAUAUUUUUCUAUAUCCUUGCUGUCUGCCAAGUUUAGAGCCUGAAAUAUAGCAAUUUCUCUGUGAAUGUGGCCUAAAUCAUUGACUAAACUUAAAUAACUUUUUUGUUUUUUCCCAUACUCUCUAUUGACUCUAAUUCUUUUAUGUUAGCUUUCUAUUAAAAUUAUAAUUUUAUGAUUAUUUUGUUAUUAUUUAUACACCUAUUACUAUAUUUACUAAUUCUUACAGAGUUGUUAUCGAUAUAAACAAUUUUGUUAAUAAUCUUUGAGUUUAGUGUUCAAACAAUAUGUACAAUUGUUUAGGUAUAUACAUUUCAAUCAAUCUAAAAUUUUGGUUUGAUUUUGUUUUAUUGCAAUUCUUCUCAAUAAAUAUACAAUAAGCUUGAGAAAUUUUUUAAAAAAUGAAUUAGCUACAAAAAGCAAUAUGGACUUUAAACAAUGAAUACAUAUCAUUAUAUUUGUUUUUUAGAUAUAACUAGAACGUUGAGGAGUAAGUCUGACAAGAAUAUGGUGAAAGAAAACCUAUAGGAAUCUCUUUCAAUAAAAUAAGUGUAUAAUAGUUAAAUAAAACAUAAUGAUGAAUAAAAAUUAAAAACUAACAAUAAAUAUGAACAUAUAUGUGUAUAUACAUGCUUUUAAUAAUUUAUAAACAAAAAUAUCAAUUAAUCAGAAAUAUCAAACAUCUGAGGUUGUUGAUGUUCAAAUCAUGAAGACUAAAUUUUUAAAUCGUGAAUUGAUAAAACAAAAUAAUCCAACUAAGUAUCUUAUUUAUUACCAAAUUUACAACAUGUUUUAUACUUAGGUCAAUGAAUUUGAAAACGGAGUCCAGAAAGAGAUCCAUAUACACGUGGUCAAUUAAAAUUUUAUUAAAGAUGUCAAUUUAAUGCAAUGAAGACAGAAUGCUUAUUUCAACUAAUAAUGCUGAAGCAACUGGAUAUUCUUGUAAAAAUUUAAACUCUUAUUUAUAUUUCACUUUCAGUGAGUGUUCAGUGAGAAUUGCUUUCAGCAAAUAUUAACUUUAUAAAUGUCCCAAGUGUAAAAACUAACUGUAAACAAUUUCUAGUAGAAAUAAUAUAAUUUUUGUAACAAUUGAUAUGCAAAUAUUUAUCAGACAGCACACAAAGUUCAUAUGUUAAUAGAUAAAUAUCAUCAAAAUUAGAAAUUUUACUUUUCAAAAGACAUGAUUAAUAAAAUGCAAAGGCUAGCCACAUGCAGGAAGAAAUGAGAGUUAAAAUAAAUUUUAAACUAAAUAAAUAGACAAGAACAAAAACCAAAACUUGGAAGUCACAUUAUAAAAGAUACAGAGAGC